GAAUAUUGGACAAUGGGGGCAACCCUGAUCCAGCCAUGCCGCGGGUGUGAAGAAGGCCGUUUGGUUGUAAAGCACUUUAAGCAGUGAAGAAGACACCAUGGUUAAUACCCGUGGACGAUGACGAUAGCUGCAGAAUAAGCAGCGCACGACGCUGGGACAGCAACCGCUGUAAUACGGAGGGUGUAAGCGUUAAUCGGACUUACUGGGCGUAAAGCGAGCGUAGUUGGCUUGAUAAGUCAGAUGUGAAAUCCCCGGGCUUAACCUGGGAACUGCAUCUGAUACUGUUAGGCUAGAAUAGGUGAGAGGAAGGUAGAAUUCCAGGUGUAGCGGUGAAAUGCGUAGAGAUCUGGAGGAAUACCGAUGGCGAAGGCAGCCUUCUGGCAUCAUAUUGACACUGAGGUUCGAAAGCGUGGGUAGCAAAC
Molecule: ribosomal RNA, 422 nt
Filed under: uncultured bacterium
Lineage: Bacteria
Description: partial 16S ribosomal RNA
Rfam family: Bacterial small subunit ribosomal RNA
Source: RNAcentral